This 484-nucleotide ribosomal RNA is filed under the name uncultured bacterium. RNAcentral's name for it is "partial 16S ribosomal RNA". It matches the Rfam family "Bacterial small subunit ribosomal RNA", at positions 28 to 507 of the family's 1533-position model. The record is from RNAcentral.
AUUGAACGCUGGCGGCAUGCUUUACACAUGCAAGUCGAACGGCAGCGCGGGCUUCGGGUUGGCUGCGAGUGGCGAACGGGUGAGUAAUACAUCGGAACGAGCUCAGCUGUGGGGUAGAGCUCGGCGAAAGCCGUGGUACUACCGCAGACGACCUGAGGGUGAAAGCGGGGGGGCGUCGGACCGCGCGCUAUGGGAGCGGCCGAUGGCAGGUUAGCUAGUUGGUGGGGUAAAGGCCUACCAAGGCGGCGAUCGGUGGCUGGUCUGAGAGGGCGACCAGCCACACUGGAACUGAGACACGGACCAGACUCCUACGGGAGGGAGCAGUGGGGAAUUUUGGACAAUGGGCGAAAGCCUUAUCCAGCAAUGCCGCGUCUGUGAUGACGGCCUCCGGGUUGUAAAGCCCGUUUGGCGGGAGUGAAAAGGAUUGUGCUAAUACGACGGUUGGAUGACGGUACCCGCAGAAUAAGCACCGGCUAACUACGUG